CUACGGGUCGCAGCAGUGGGGAAUAUUGGACAAUGGGGGAAACCCUGAUCCAGCAAUGCCGCGUGUGUGAAGAAGGCCUGCGGGUUGUAAAGCACUUUCGGUUGGGAGGACUGCUUCUAGCACUAAUAUUGUUGGAAGUUGACGUUACCUUCAGAAGAAGCACCGGCUAACUCCGUGCCAGCAGCCGCGGUACUACGGAGGGUGCAAGCGUUAAUCGGAAUUACUGGGCGUAAAGCGCGCGUAGGCGGCUAGAUCAGUCGGGUGUGAAAGCCCCGGGCUUAACCUGGGAACUGCAUCCGAUACUGUCUAGCUUGAGUACAGGAGAGGAGAGUGGAAUUCCGCAUGUAGCGGUGAAAUGCGUAGAUAUGUGGAGGAACACCAAUGGCGAAGGCAGCUCUCUGGCCUGAUACUGACGCUGAGGUGCGAAAGCGUGGGGAGCAAACAGGAUUAGAUACCCGAGUAGUC
This 465-nucleotide ribosomal RNA is filed under the name uncultured bacterium. Its description in RNAcentral is "partial 16S ribosomal RNA". It matches the Rfam family "Bacterial small subunit ribosomal RNA", at positions 339 to 795 of the family's 1533-position model. The record is from RNAcentral.